GACGAACGCUGGCGGCGUGCCUAAUACAUGCAAGUAGAACGCUGAAGAGAGGAGCUUGCUCUUCUUGGAUGAGUUGCGAACGGGUGAGUAACGCGUAGGUAACCUGCCUUGUAGCGGGGGAUAACUAUUGGAAACGAUAGCUAAUACCGCAUAACAAUGGAUGACACAUGUCAUUUAUUUGAAAGGGGCAAUUGCUCCACUACAAGAUGGACCUGCGUUGUAUUAGCUAGUAGGUGAGGUAACGGCUCACCUAGGCGACGAUACAUAGCCGACCUGAGAGGGUGAUCGGCCACACUGGGACUGAGACACGGCCCAGACUCCUACGGGAGGCAGCAGUAGGGAAUCUUCGGCAAUGGGGGCAACCCUGACCGAGCAACGCCGCGUGAGUGAAGAAGGUUUUCGGAUCGUAAAGCUCUGUUGUAAGUCAAGAACGAGUGUGAGAGUGGAAAGUUCACACUGUGACGGUAGCUUACCAGAAAGGGACGGCUAACUACGUGCCAGCAGCCGCGGUAAUACGUAGGUCCCGAGCGUUGUCCGGAUUUAUUGGGCGUAAAGCGAGCGCAGGCGGUUUGAUAAGUCUGAAGUUAAAGGCUGUGGCUCAACCAUAGUUCGCUUUGGAAACUGUCAAACUUGAGUGCAGAAGGGGAGAGUGGAAUUCCAUGUGUAGCGGCGAAAUGCGUAGAUAUAUGGAGGAACACCGGUGGCGAAAGCGGCUCUCUGGUCUGUAACUGACGCUGAGGCUCGAAAGCGUGGGGAGCGAACAGGAUUAGAUACCCUGGUAGUCCACGCCGUAAACGAUGAGUGCUAGGUGUUGGAUCCUUUCCGGGAUUCAGUGCCGCAGCUAACGCAUUAAGCACUCCGCCUGGGGAGUACGACCGCAAGGUUGAAACUCAAAGGAAUUGACGGGGGCCCGCACAAGCGGUGGAGCAUGUGGUUUAAUUCGAAGCAACGCGAAGAACCUUACCAGGUCUUGACAUCCCGAUGCUAUUUCUAGAGAUAGAAAGUUACUUCGGUACAUCGGUGACAGGUGGUGCAUGGUUGUCGUCAGCUCGUGUCGUGAGAUGUUGGGUUAAGUCCCGCAACGAGCGCAACCCCUAUUGUUAGUUGCCAUCAUUCAGUUGGGCACUCUAGCGAGACUGCCGGUAAUAAACCGGAGGAAGGUGGGGAUGACGUCAAAUCAUCAUGCCCCUUAUGACCUGGGCUACACACGUGCUACAAUGGUUGGUACAACGAGUUGCGAGUCGGUGACGGCAAGCUAAUCUCUUAAAGCCAAUCUCAGUUCGGAUUGUAGGCUGCAACUCGCCUACAUGAAGUCGGAAUCGCUAGUAAUCGCGGAUCAGCACGCCGCGGUGAAUACGUUCCCGGGCCU
This 1369-nucleotide ribosomal RNA is filed under the name uncultured bacterium. RNAcentral's name for it is "bacterial SSU rRNA". It matches the Rfam family "Bacterial small subunit ribosomal RNA", at positions 28 to 1381 of the family's 1533-position model. The record is from RNAcentral.